GCCAUGCAUGUCUAAGUCCUGCCUUGUGUGUUGUGGGUGCAAGCUCGCGCACACGUCUAUACCGCAGACGGCUCAUUAAAUCAGUUGUGGUCCGUAUGGGCUAGAGAAAUCCUACCUGGAUAACUGUGGUAAUUCCAGAGCUAAUACAUGCAACUGAUAGUCCGAUCGGUGGUACGCAAGUAUUACUGUGACGGCUGCUUUUAUUAGACCAAACCGCUGAAGGGGAUCCCCCCCCAAGACUCGUGAUAUGGUGACUCUGGAUAAUACCACUGACAAGCGCAUGUAUCCNUUUAUAUGGGACGGCGCUGCCUCUUACGAGUAUCUGCCUUAUCAGCUAUGAAUCGUUCGUUAUGUGCACACGAUGGCUUUGACGGGUAACGGGGAAUCAGAAUUCGAUUCCGGAGAGGGAGCCUGAGAAACGGCUACCACGUCUAAGGACGGCAGCAGGCACGCAAAUUACCCAAUCCCAGUUACUGGGGGAGGUAGUGACGAAAUCUAACGAUGCGGGCGCCCCUUCUGGGGCCCCGCAAUUGGAAUGAGCAUUUUCUUUCAAACACCCUGUAGAGAACCUACUGAAGGGCAAGUCUGGUGCCAGCAGCCGCGGUAAUUCCAGCUUCAGCAGCAUAUACUAAAGUUGCUGCGGUUAAAAGGCUCGCAGUUGAAUGUCAGUAUCAAGUGCAGUGUGGUGGACGUUGGAGUGUGGGACUGUUCCCUCGAUUCUCUUCUGUGUCGGUAUGUAGGCCUCGUGCUUGCUGCUUGUGCUUGAGGGGUUGAGUGUGUUCAGUCUCCAUCUAUAGCUCCCGUCCGUAAACAGCCGCCUCACUUGUGUACAAAGUGGAAGCUAUAUGGUUAUUAAGAUCUGUUUGUGGGGGGCCGCUUCAGUGUGUCGAGUUAACUACCCUUCGCGGGUGUAUGCGCUCGCGCGUUGUCGUGUGUCUCUCGCUUACUUUUCUCUCGGUUAAAGGUUUUCAAAGUCACCUUGAGUAAAUCAGAGUGCUCAAAGCAGUCGUAAGGAAUGUGCAGCUCGCGCUGUACGUUCUGUGAUGAAUGUCUAUGACAGACAGUCUCGGUUUUGCAUGGAAUGUCGGAAGACGCCGUAUCUCCUGUUGGUAACGAGUCCCGUGCGGGGUUCACUUGUGACUACUUCGCGGUGGAAGCUUGUGGCAUACACGACCAACAGGUGCGGAAUGAUUAAGAGGUUCGGUCGAGGGCGUUGGUAUUGCGAGGCGAGAGGUGAAAUUCUAUGACCCCCGCAAGACCUCCUGAAGCGAAAGCGUCUGCCAAGGACGUUUCAUAAUCAKAACGACCAGGCGUGGAGCCUGCGGCUUAAUUUGACUCAACACGGGCCAUCUCACCAGGCCAGCACUCUUGUAUGAUUGACAGAUCGAGAGUUCUUUCUCGAUUCAGUGGAUGGUGGUGCAUGGCCGUUCUUAGUUGGUGGAGUGAUCUGUCUGGUUAAUUCCGAUAACGAACGAGACUCUCCCCUGCUAACUAGUCGGUUGGAUCUUGCGUCUGGAGAGUAGUGCAUUCAUGGGGUCGUUGCGACGUGUGUGUUGGUCUCGCUCUCGGGCAGGCCGCGCCGUGUUGUGGUGUGCUUCUGUGUUUGUCACACUCCAAGUCCGCCGCUUACUUACACAAGUGGAGUGUAACAGCAAAGCAUUAUGAGUAAAACUCUUCUUAGAGGGAUUCACGGUUCGGAAGCCGUAAGAAACUGAGAGCAAUAACAGGUCUGUGAUGCCCUUAGAUGUUCUGGGCCGCACGCGCGCUACAAUGCCGGGCUCAGCAGGUAUCUAUCCUGCUCCGAGAGGAGUGGGUAACCCUGUGAAAGCCCUGCAAACAAAUUUUCAAAGGGUUCGCGCUCUUGUACACACUUAGUGUGUGUGCAGCUGUGUGUUCUCUUCCAUGGCAUGCUUGGGCCUGGGGCUUGCAAUUGUUUCCCACAAACGAGGAAUGCCUAGUAGCGGCGGAUCACUGAGUUCGCUGUGACUCAGUCCCUGCCCUUUGUACACACCGCCCGUCGCUACUACCGAUUGGGUGUACCAGUGAGAUCUUUGGACUGGCGAGCCUUGUUCCCCAGCAAUGGAGUGCAAGUGUGUACGACGGAAAGAGGCUCGAACUGGUGCACUUAGAGGAAGUAAAAGUCGUAACAAGG
RNAcentral lists this ribosomal RNA (2152 nucleotides) under Liouvillea sp. MLV-2016. RNAcentral describes it as "partial 18S ribosomal RNA". It matches the Rfam family "Eukaryotic small subunit ribosomal RNA". Lineage: Eukaryota; Metazoa; Arthropoda; Malacostraca; Amphipoda; Pontogeneiidae. The record is from RNAcentral.